This 239-nucleotide long non-coding RNA is filed under the name Elaeis guineensis (African oil palm). RNAcentral's name for it is "long non-coding RNA (EGUI_LNC076969)". The record is from RNAcentral. Lineage: Eukaryota; Viridiplantae; Streptophyta; Magnoliopsida; Arecales; Arecaceae.
CACAGACUAGCUAAUCUUAAUCCUCUCACUGACUUCACCAAGUCAGAUUUGGAUGGACUAAAAACAAGUCGGUCCUACUGACAAGUCAUCAAUCCUCCCACUGACUUCAUCAAGUCAUGUCGAGGAUAAAGACAAGUCAAAUUAGGGGUACCUAAAUCAGUCAAACUAAUUUUCUAGUAAGCAUGGGUCAACCCUAAUAUUAAGCAAUCUAAUCAAAACUUGAUUCAUCAUAUUGGCUA